AAGAAACCUAAAGCCAAACCGAGCCAUC
RNAcentral lists this small RNA (28 nucleotides) under Bombyx mori (domestic silkworm). Its description in RNAcentral is "ovarian small RNA-10476". Lineage: Eukaryota; Metazoa; Arthropoda; Insecta; Lepidoptera; Bombycidae. The record is from RNAcentral.